This 594-nucleotide ribosomal RNA is filed under the name uncultured marine eukaryote. Its description in RNAcentral is "bacterial SSU rRNA". It matches the Rfam family "Eukaryotic small subunit ribosomal RNA", at positions 623 to 1212 of the family's 1831-position model. The record is from RNAcentral.
AAAGCUCGUAGUUGGAUUUCUGCAAGAGUUGGACGGCCUGAGCUUCACAGAAGUUUCAUGGAACAGUCACGACUUUUGCAUCCUGUCACAAACUGCUCUGGUCUUAACUGAUUGGGGUUCAGGGACUGACACAUUUACUUUGAGAAAAAUAGAGUGUUCAAAGCAGGCAUAUGCCUUGAAUAAAUUAGCAUGGAAUAAUAAGAUAGGACUUUGGUUCUAUUUUGUUGGUUGUUCGAGGACCGAAGUAAUGAUUGAGAGGGAUGGUUGGGGGCAUUAGUAUUCUAAAGCGAGAGGUGAAAUUCGUAGACCUUUGGAAGACUAACUACUGCGAAAGCAUUUGCCAAGGACAUUCCCUUUAAUCAAGAACGAAAGUUGGGGGAUCGAAGACGAUCAGAUACCGUCGUAGUCUCAACUAUAAACUAUACCGGCUAAGGAUUGGCCAACGUUUAUUUUCGACUUGGUCAGCACUUUAUGGGAAACCAAAGCAUUUGGGUUCCGGGGGGAGUAUGGUCGCAAGGCUGAAACUUAAAGGAAUUGACGGGAGGGCACCACCAGGAGUGGAGCCUGUGGCUUAAUUUGACUCAACACGGGGAA